CCCGUCAGCGGGUGCGCGGCGUUGGGCCUGGCGGCGGCGGGCGCUUUGUUGUGCCUUCAGCCGCCGUGUUGCCCUCUAGCGCCCGGCUGCAGCCGCCGACUGGUACAGGGACCGACCCAGCUGUGAAUCAGCCGUCCGCAGCCAGGGGACGCGUUACGCUGUCAGACUUAGCUCAGUGCAACCGAAAGAAAAGGCGACACAAAAAGCCGCCCCGCCCCAGUCAGGAUUUAACACGAACUGUGGGGAAGAUGCAAUGAAUCCCCACAGAAGUAGUCCUUAAAAUGCGUUUGUGGAAAAAUUCGUGGCCCGGAGCUCCUCGCGCAGUCUGAACAUGCCCUGGAUCUAUUGUUUCCUUUGUCAGAUUUGGUUUUGGUCGUCAUUAUGGUAUACGGGAGCUGUUGGGGUGAGUCCUCAAUCCACUCAGAAAGUAAAACAAACCAAAAGCUUUCCCCUGUUCGGCUGGUGAGACUGCAGAACUGCCAAUGCAGUUUAUAGCCUACAAAACCUUAUGGCUUGCAGCGCACAUCUUACCCGACCCACAUCACCCAGAUCUCCCCGGCUACCUGCUGUGCCCAUCUCCUGGGCAUGGGGCUGGGCUGGUGUUAAGGAAAAAGGAUAGCACGUGGAUUUAGGUAGUUGGAUCGAGUGUACCCUCAGCAGUUUGCAGAUGACACCGAGCUGUGUGGUGCGGUUGACACACCUGAGGAUUCUACCAAAGAUAUGCUCGAGCAGUGGGCCCAGGAGAACCUCAUGAGGUUCAACAACGCCAGGCACGAGGUCUGCACAUGGGUCAUGCCAACCCCCACUACCAAUACAAGCUGGAGGAUAUAAGGAUGGAGCACAGCCUGUGUGAAAAGGACUUGGAAGUAAUGGACAUGAGUCAGCAGUGUGCCCUCACAACGCAGAAAGCUAACCGAAAGCUGCAUCGAAUGGAGUAUGGUCAGCAGGGAGAGAGAGGUGAUCCUGCCCUCUGCUCUGCACUGUGAGACCUCACCUGGAGUGCUGUGGCCAGACAGGAAGUCCUCUUUAUGAAGGAGAUAUGGACCUGUGGGAACACAUCCAGACGAGGGCCAUGUAAGUGAUCCAAGGGAUGGAAUGCCUCCCUGUGAGGACAGACUGAGAGAAAUGGGGCUGUUCAGACUGGAGAAGAGAAGGUGCUGAGGAGACCUGAGAGGAGCCUUUCAGAAUCUGACAGGGGGCUGUAAGAAAGAAGGGGACAGAGUCUCCAGCAGGGUAGUGGCGCUGGGACAGGUUGCCUGGAGAGGUGGUGGAUGCUCCAUCCCUGCAGACAUUCAACGCGUCAGGGUGGGGGCGCUCUGAGCAACCUGUAGUCGUCCCUGUUCAUUGCAGGGGAUUUGGAUUGGGUGACCUUUAGAAGUUCCUUCCAACUGAAAUUAUUCUGAUUUUAUCAGAUGAAGCCAUUUUGUGUGCAGUGCUUCCUGAUAGCACACUUUGUUUUCCCUGGUAGUAAAGCCAACACAAGCACUCUUUUGUUAGUGUCACUUGAAGCUCCUCCCUAAUUACAAACAAGCCUCACAUUCUUAUCCACUGUAAGUUACCCUGAUUACAGAUUUCUUACACGUAUUGCACAGAAUUCGAGACUCUUCUGAGGAGUGGGCAGCAACAAUUGCAGCUACUAUUUCUCUUCUGAUAAAAAAAUGAUUCACUGUUCCAGAUUGUGAGAAGAGAGAACAGUGGUAUUAUUGUGACUAUAGCUCAUUGUUACAUGAUUUAUACGAGGGCUGCUUGAAAGUAAUGCCUCCUAUUUUACUACGUUGGCCCAUGACGUCAGAGCAGAUGUUGUGGUGGUAUGGCAGGAGAAGUUGUACCUUCCCACAGUAUUCCACUACAUUUUGUUGCUUUGAGACGGAGGGGCAAGCUGAGAAAAUGGCACCUAACAUGGAAGUGAGCAUGAAGCAAAGAUGUGUCACUGAAUUCCUCCAAGUGGAAAAAAUGGCACCCAGUGACAUUCGCUCAUCUUUGCUGAAUGUUUAUGGAGACCAAACAGUGGAUGUGAGCACCGUGAUGAGGUGAAUGCUGUGCUUCAGCAGAGGCAACAGUGACGUGAAAGACAAGCCAUGUUCCAGAUGGCCAUGCAGACUUUGAUAAGCAUGGCACGCAGGCUGUUCAUUGCUGG
Gallus gallus (chicken) is the source of this 2137-nucleotide long non-coding RNA. The record is from Ensembl. NCBI's taxonomy places the organism in Eukaryota, Metazoa, Chordata, Aves, Galliformes, Phasianidae.